AUGAAAGCAAAAAGCAAGUUAUCGACACCAGAUGACUAUGAUCGAGUGAUAUGUGCAGAGAUACCGGACAAAGAGAAACACCCCGUUCUACAUGAACUGGUCGUCAAACACAUGCUGCAUGGACCAUGUGGCGAGUUGAAAAAAAGUUGCCCUUGCAUGAUUGAUGGUCAGUGUCGGUUUCAUUACCCGCGAGAUUUUUGUGAUGCCACACAACAAGGGAAAGACUCAUAUCCCAUCUAUAGGCAGAGGAACGAUGGGCGUCGAAUUAGGAUCAGAGGAGCAGAUUUGGACAAUAGGUGGGUGGUCCCUUACAACCCUUCACUACUUAUGCGAUACAACUGCCACAUUAAUGUGGAAACAUGCUCGAGCAUCAAGGCAGUCAAGUACUUGUUCAAGUACAUCUACAAAGGUCAUGAUCGUACAUCCUUUGCAUUCGAGCAGGAUAUCAUCAAUGAUGGUGGAAUCAUCAAUGAAAUCCGACAAUAUAGGGAUGCAUGA
Molecule: ribosomal RNA, 498 nt
Filed under: Triticum aestivum (bread wheat)
Lineage: Eukaryota; Viridiplantae; Streptophyta; Magnoliopsida; Poales; Poaceae
Description: partial small subunit ribosomal RNA
Source: RNAcentral